RNAcentral lists this transfer RNA (69 nucleotides) under Bos taurus (domestic cattle). It matches the Rfam family "tRNA". Rfam says of the family: Transfer RNA (tRNA) molecules are approximately 80 nucleotides in length. Their secondary structure includes four short double-helical elements and three loops (D, anti-codon, and T loops). Further hydrogen bonds mediate the characteristic L-shaped molecular structure. tRNAs have two regions of fundamental functional importance: the anti-codon, which is responsible for specific mRNA codon recognition, and the 3' end, to which the tRNAs corresponding amino acid is attached (by aminoacyl-tRNA synthetases). tRNAs cope with the degeneracy of the genetic code in two manners: having more than one tRNA (with a specific anti-codon) for a particular amino acid; and 'wobble' base-pairing, i.e. permitting non-standard base-pairing at the 3rd anti-codon position. Lineage: Eukaryota; Metazoa; Chordata; Mammalia; Artiodactyla; Bovidae. RNAcentral also lists the same sequence under 2 other names. The record is from Rfam by way of RNAcentral.
CCUGGUAACUCAGAUGGUAAAGCAUCUGCCUAUAAUGCAGGAGACCCAGGUUCAAUCCCUGGGUCAGGA